RNAcentral lists this transfer RNA (71 nucleotides) under Pectobacterium phage My1. It matches the Rfam family "tRNA". Rfam says of the family: Transfer RNA (tRNA) molecules are approximately 80 nucleotides in length. Their secondary structure includes four short double-helical elements and three loops (D, anti-codon, and T loops). RNAcentral also lists the same sequence under 1 other name. The record is from Rfam by way of RNAcentral. Lineage: Duplodnaviria; Heunggongvirae; Uroviricota; Caudoviricetes; Demerecviridae.
GCGUUCGUAGUUAAAUGGUAUAAUUUCUGGUUGCCAACCAGAGGUUGAGAGUUCGAUUCUCUCCGACCGCA